GCAGAGUCCCUCAGGAUGGUCAGGGGGAGGAGGUACAAGGGCCCUCAGGAUGGUCAGGGGGAGGAGGUGCAGGGUCCCUCAGGAUGGUCGGGGGAGGAGGUCGGGGUCCCUCAGGAUGGUCGGGGGAGGAGGUCCGGGGCCCUCAGGAUGGUCGGGGGAGGAGGUGCAGGGUCCCUCAGGAUGGUCAGGGGAGGAGGUACAAGGGCCCUCAGGAUGGUCAGGGGGAGGAGGUCCGGGGCCCUCAGGAUGGUCGGGGGAGGAGGUCGGGGUCCCUCAGGAUGGUCGGGGGAGGAGGUCGGGGCCGCCGCGCUGGUCAGGCGGGGACUCCCCUGAGGCUCUCACUCCGCACGGCGCACGUGCAGCUCUUUCGAAGCGAGAGCCCCGCAUCAGCACACGGACCCGCGCCCGGGCCCCGGGUUCCCGCUCCGGCACCGCCCGCAGCACCUCAGCGACACUCACCUCCAGCCCCACCGUUCGCCGGAAGCGCUCGAUCCCCAGCGCGGCGGCGCGGCACUUCCGGUUACGCUCUAGGCCGCGGGAGGCCGUGCACUCGGCUGCUCCCCGCGCGGGCUCCGCAUCAGGCGCGCUGGUCCUUCCUCCCGCGCGGGUCUUAGCCGGGACCCCCCGCUCCCGCCCGCCGGCCUCCAGCCAGGCCCGGGGUCCGGCGUCUGCAGAGGGGAUACCGCAGAGAGGUGCCCACAGCACCCCAUGCGGAGGCCCACCGUGUCCAUCAGCUCUUCACUGGCGAGUGAUCGUUGUGACAUGUGGUCAGAUGUCGCCUGUUGUCUUCCCUCCUCAACCAGUAAGCCAUCCUGGAGGAGGAAGGCCGAGGGAGCGCGGCCAGGGCAGGGUAUGACGCCAGGAAGGACACUGCCGGUGACCCCAGUGGACACGGUCCACGAGGCAGAACUGGAGGCUGUGCUGGGCUCAAGGGUUGGAUCCGUGCGCCUGAAUUUGGUGACUGUCCUGUGGUUUCGUAAGAGAACACCCUUGAGAAUCGGGAGCGCACAAAGGCACUGCGAGGCCGAGGGUUCCCAAACCGUUCUACAAAGGGUUGGGAGAGGGACGCCCGGGAGGCUCAGCGGUUGAGCAUCUGCCUUGGUUGAGCAUCUGCCUUCGGCUCAGGGCGUGACCCCGGGGUCCUGGGAUCGAGUCCCUUCUCAGGCUCCCUGCAUGGAACCUGCUCCUCCCUCUGCCUCUCUCUCUCUCUCUCUCUGUCUCUCAUGAACAAAUAAAUAAAACCUUUAAAAAUAAUAAUGGGGAAAAAUGGGUUUGGGUUCCCCUCCUGGCUUGCAUGAACUACUCUGACAACCAGGGGCCAGAAGAGGGCUUUUUUGUUGCCGGCCACAGCCGUGACUCCAUCCUGACGUUAUUUUCUGGCAGGUUCCAGGGUGUGUGUGUGAGGGGGCCACUGUUUGCAUCUGCUUGGGACCCUCUGGUUGGAGCAGCCCUUUCCUCCCGGGCAGUGGUCCCCUCCCUCUGUUCCCCGAGGUCAUUUGGAGUCUGAGGCCACACAGGUCCGGGCCUGCAGGGGAGAGGAGAGGUGACUGCCAGGAACCCCGCCUGCCCAGCGUUGCUGAAGCAGCUCCUCACCCUGUGGGCUGCCCCCCAGCUUCCAAGUCGGUGUGCGCCCCGGACGGUGCCAAGGACUUGCUGCUGCUCACGCUGCUGCUUUGGCGGGGGUCCUGGACAGUAAGGGCCCGGCCCUGGGUCAGUAGGGCCUGGCGGGGCUGAAGGCCAAACACACCGACUGGCCUGUGCCCCAGCCACGCAUGGGGUCUGUCCCUCUGCUAGCGCAGCCCGUCUGUACCCCGUCACUGCGUCAGUCGCCUCUCCUCAUAUUAAGAACCCUGAGGGGGAGAGAGAGAUGGACGGGGGUGGGGGUGGGGGUGGGGGGUUACCUUGCAGACGUGGAAGAGGGGAUUUCGAGAGGAAGGACCUGGCACAGGGAAAACGGAGGUGGCCCUCCCUGGGUCAGGAUAUCCUAUUUUGUGCCCACAGACGCUCCCAGUCUCCGUGGCUGGAAACCACAGAGGCUGGCGCUCAGGCCCCGUGGGCGGGCUCUGCCCGGGCGCCCGCCUCAUUCUGGGGCCGGGCCGGGAACAGGCGCCGUGGGAACCUGGGAGAAGGCCCGCGGCCCUCCCAGUCCCCUAUUGGGCAACGCCAGCACAGCCGGGCCCCAGGGAGGUGAGGUGUGUGCAAGCCCCCCGGGGCCAAGGGAAAGGGUGGUCCAGACCCCGGAGGACGCCUGGCAGGCGGAAUGAGCCCCGGUCUGAGGCCCCACCCCCGCCAGGGCAGUGCCCAUUCCCAGGAUGUCCGAGAAGGGGGCAGGACGGGGGCGGCUCCGGAAGCCUCCUCAGCACCUGCAGCACCUGCGGCCUCCCGCACCGCCUGGGCCGGCCCUGCAGCCUCUCCUCCUCCUGCCCCCAAGGGCCGCCUGCAGGCACCCCCCCCAACCCUGCAUCUUCCCGGCAGGUGGCACCCGGAAACCCCCACCGCGCUCUGCAGUGUUUCUUUCUCAUUAAUUAUUAAAAGACACAGAAAAUAAAACAUUAGGGACGCCUGGGGGCUCAGCGGUUGAGCACCUGCCUCUGGCUCAGGGUGUGACACCAGGGUCCCCGCAGGGAGUCUGCUUCUCCCUCUGCCUGGGUCUCUGCCUCUCUCUGUGCCUCUCAAGAAUAAAUACACACAAUCCUAAAACAAAAACAAAAAUUUAAAAGGAUGAUCUCGAAGAAGUGAAGGUUUCCCUCCA
This 2752-nucleotide long non-coding RNA is filed under the name Canis lupus familiaris (dog). RNAcentral describes it as "lncRNA (ENSCAFG00845014930.1)". Lineage: Eukaryota; Metazoa; Chordata; Mammalia; Carnivora; Canidae. The record is from RNAcentral.